GGGAUAUGUUACAGUUCCUCAGCAAACAACCUGUUAUCUGCAGGAAAAUGCAGACCCCAAAAGACCUUCCCCUGCUGAUAAGAACUGCAUUAUCCUGAAGGGCAGACUUUUGUGACCUUGGCACAGACCAGAUUCCAGGGAGACAGGAUAAUUAGAUGCAAAGUCCCCUAAGCAUAAAAAUCUAUAAGAACAAGUUUUAAUCAGAACCAAUCACAUUGGGCCAAGGUGACCUGAGUGGCCUUUGGAUAUUCAGCAUGCCAUUGUAAGUAAAAUCUCGCCUCCUUGGGGCAAGACCCUGUGCAGUGGGGACUUGAAAGUGUGACGCAAUCCUGCUGCCAGUCAAAAGUCAGGAGGUGGACCUGGGUGGGACUCUCUGGAAACUUCCCUGGGACCCUCAAUAAAAAGAAAGUGUGCUCUCCCUGUGCUCUGAGGGGACCCACUCUUUUUUGAGUGUUCUUUCUUUCCUUUUCUCAUAAACCCACAAAAUCCUUCCUGUGGGGUACGAAGAACCAGGCAUGCGUCCUCAGGUUGGCUCUGGCUCGGCCGGAGGGUCUCACGUGAGGCCCUAGCCGUUCCCCUCCCCCAGGUAACUCUAAGACUGGCUCCCCUUCUUCUUCGAGGUCUCAGCUCAAAUGCCACGCUCUUGUUAGGACUUUCUUGAGUGCCCUUUGCAAAAAACCACACGCAGUCCUCCCCGUAUCCCUCCUAAGCCUCUGGUCUCCCUGUCUGCCUGUCCUUCUCGGUAUCACCUGCAGCCAUAUAUUGGCUGUCCACUGAUUGUCUGUCCUGCACUGCCAGAAUGCAGGGGCCACCCGGCAGGGACUCUGUCUCCUUCCCGGAGGUUCCCCCAGGCCCCAGGCAGUGACCGCUCCACUCGGGGACACGGGUUGCAGCCAGCAGGCGGGAGAGCUGCGUCUGGGGAAGAAGUAACACUGUGAGGUCUUCCGAGUCCUGCUCACUUGCAUUUAAAACACACUUAUUUAUGAAAAAGCAAAAUAUGCACAAGGUAUAAAACUCAAAAAGGC
Molecule: long non-coding RNA, 1025 nt
Filed under: Marmota monax (woodchuck)
Lineage: Eukaryota; Metazoa; Chordata; Mammalia; Rodentia; Sciuridae
Source: RNAcentral